AUGGACACAGUCAAAGUUGCAAUUGAUUUGAAAGGAAAUGGACAUUUUUGAGGAGAUGCCCGAGAGGGGAAAGACUUCAUUUUAAUCCCGUAUUCGCUUCACUGGUCUGGAACCUGAGCAGCUCUAUCGUCUAAGGUAAGAGGAAUUAAAUGUUUUUUUUAAUGUUUAAUCUUAGCAUUCAAUGGAGAUAAUACCUAUGAAAGAGAAAGUGUGCAUAGGCUACUCAAAUCAUGCAUGAUUAACGCGCACACUCGCAGUGUGGAUUCAAUGAGGCCCAUAUUUAAAUAUAUCGUUAUAUGUAGGACAAAAAUAUUAAAUUACAUAACAAGUCAGCAUCACACAGAGAGCAACCUAAUUGGCACGAUAAGAUUGAAAAUAAAUUGAAUUGUGGAAACUUACGGACUCAAGGCGGCCGUCAGCUUCAGGCUGUGGUGACGGUUCAGGUAAAGAGGCAUCAGGUGGGACAGCCGUAGUGCUGGCCGCUGCAGGAGUGCUACAGCUGGCAAACACCGAAACACCAAAUGUUUCCUGUCCCAAAGACCGAGAAGGCGUCGUACUCCAUCCGCUUGGUGGGCAUCCAGUCCUCAAAUACUGAAGGUGCGUCCGUUUAAUGUGGCGAAAGAAAGAGUUAAAAACUCUAAAGUCCUGUUCACAUCCAUCAAUACCACAGUAAACCCAAAAAUCCGGGCUGCGACUGUGACUUUUAUUAAUGUGGCUAAGGAGUACUUUAAGACUUAAAGCAACAAAGACGAAACAUAUCAUACACCUCCACGCCGCCAUGAUGCACCGUUGUUGUCGCGGGCUAAUGAUCCAGAGGUGGAUGGGGAGGGGGGCACUCAUGAAAUAAUUUGUUAUUAUUUUAACAAUACAUUCCUCUAAUUAUAAAUGCGACUUAAUUAAUUUUACGAUGGUAAGUUUUUAAAAAAUAAUAUUUUGCUAACAUGUUCAUGUUUACGUCCGAUCAUUUCUGCGCAUCCUCAGUUCAUGUCCUCCAACGGUCCCACCUCAAUGACGUCAGUGUUCGCGGUUCACCGCUUGAGUAACUGAAAGAUUUGGGUGCGUUACAUUUGACGAAGAAGUGCAAGAAGAGCGGCUCAAUGUCAGUAAACUUUAUUGAAUUAGUAAAUAUUACUAUGUCGGUAUAUGCUUAGCAAGCUAGCUAAUUGUUAGCUAAUGUGCACUUUUACACGCUAGCCGUUAGCUAACGAACUCUGUUUGCCUAUGGGUUUUCCCGGGUAGUUCUACGAUACCGCCUGUUAAUGCUUCAGGGAGCUGAUGAAUCUAAGAUGGAUACUUUUGACGAUGCCACUCUAUCGGUGUUGGAGGCUGCCAGUGUUGAUGAGGAGGCUUUGAAAGGCCUUAGCCGGGAUGACCUGAGGGAUCUUUUUCCUGGCCCAGAGAAUUUCCUCAAAAGAAAGAAACUUUGGAAUUUCAUCAGUGAAAAUUGUGAAAAUACCACGGACCAAGAUGCCAACAAUUGUGCCAUGCCACCAUGCCAGCCUCAAACCUCAACCCCCAUAUCUGCUGAGAAAAAAAUGAAAAUGCCAGACCCUCCAGAGUAUGUGGUGUACACAGAUUCAGAGUUAGACAUGGUGCGUAGUCAAUACUUUGCACUGCUCUGCAAUGGAAAGGAAAAAAAUUACAAACUGUCCAAGGAGCUAUGUUGCAGACUUGUAAGGAACACAAUAACCAGUAUGGUUGCUAUCCUGCGUGCUAGUCCCAUGGGGAAAGAAGUCAGUUACCCGUCAAAAUUGGAAAUAAGAGCCAUGUCACAGAAGAUUAUAGACUAUUACCCAAUGUUACGGGAUGAUGAUCCAAACAUGCCUUAUCUGACUAUCUACACCAAAAUGUACAAGCGACUCCAAAAUAUGAGAUCCCCACGGAAGAGGCAAGGCUCUGUACCACAAAGAGGAGCGGCAAAGACAGCUCUCUUCAGUGCAGACAACCAAGACAUGGAGACGGAUUGGACAGACACAAGCAACUCAAGUGAUAAUACCUUACUUCUUGAGAGCAAUGAUGACCUUACCGAGGACAACUCCAGUGAAGCAUUCCCAGCACAUCGACCCCCCUCUGUGCCAAGGAAGCCAAAGACCAAAACCUUCCUGCUGCCAUCCGCAUCAGCCUCAGGCUCCUCACUCAGGACUGUGAUCGCUUCACCAACCACGCCUGCAAAGGAUGAUGUUGUCGGCCAGGACAGUCUGAAAAUGCAGGCUAAGCACUACAAAACCUUGAGCAACAUGUACAAUAAGCCAAAUGCAAAACCCAAUCAAAGUGAUGUUGCUCAAGUUUUAGACCUUGAGUUUAAGGCCAGACGGGCUUUCAUUGAUGCAGAUGUUACAAGGGAAGAAGACCGACCUGCAAAAAUCUUUGAGGCAUAUCCAUGCUUUAGAGAUGUUCGAAAUGCAAUGGAUGAGCUGCGGCGCAUAGUAGGUGGCACCAACAGCAGAUACAUCGAGGAAGUGAAAGGAAGAUGGGUAGACUUUUGUGCCAAGGUGCAGUUCUAUGGUGUGUGGAAGAAAGCCCUGAAACCCCCCUUUCCAUCGGAUGUCCGUGGAGUGGAGUUCACGCUUGCCCUCUUCAAUGCACUCCCAUCCCUUUUCCCCUCACCAACUUCACCACCAAAGAAGCUUGGAAAUAGCUGUGAGGCACUUCUUCAUGUCCUGAAGUCAGGCGAAGACCCUGCCCUGUACCUGGAAAAGCAUCCUCUCUCCUCCCCAGUUCUGCUUUCUGAUGGCUCAACCACCAUUGUGGCUGUGGGUAAUGUACCUGUGACCACCCUCCCUCAGGAAGAUUUCUCAGACGGGAUGUUGGUGUUAAUGGCAUAUUACUACACUUUGCACUUAAGAUAUCCAAAAUGUGUUGCAACGCUCCUGUCAGUAAUUCAAACAGAGGUAAUUGGUGACACAAUCCACGAUCAAGAUGCCACUAGUGCUUACAGGAAAGCAAUGGCUGAUUGGAAGUAUUUCAUUGAGAAGUAGCUGAGUAUUUUGUCAUGCCAGUUCUUAUUGUUAGCUGUGAGUUCUUAUUGUUAGCUGUGCCUAAUAAUAGUUUUGUGUUGCACAAGCUUAUACAGUCACUGAGUUAUUACCUCAUUUAGGCCUGUAUUUAAAAUGAUAGUUAAGGAAAAAUCCAUAACUGAGGGCUGAGAAGUGUUUUUGUUUUUUGCCCUUUUGCUUUUAAUUUCUUUUAUUUUUAUGGAAAAGUAUUCAAAUGUCUAUAGCAAACUUGACUUGCUGAUGUUAAAUAAAUGUUGUCUUAAGCCAUGUUAUUUCUGCACCAUUAUUCUAAAAAAGGACAGGCUUUAGAUUUUAAGAUGCUCAAAGUAAGAAAACAAAAUGGGUAAUUGCUUAUAUUUAGUAUAUUUCACUUAUUUUGAGGCUGUAAAAGUUUAAAUUUAAGUAAUCUAGUCUUAAAAACAGCAUUUUAUGCUUAUAUUUAGUAUAUUUCACUUAUUCUGAGGUUGUAAAAAGUUUAUUUUAAGUUAUCUAGACUUAAAACCAGCAUUCUAUGCUUUUAUUUAGUAUAAUUCACUUAUUUUAAGGCUGUAAAAAGUUUAAAUUUAAGUAAUCUCAUUUUACAACCAGCAUUUUAUGCUUAUAUUUAGUAUAAUUCACUUAUUUUGAGGCUGUAAAAGUUUAAAUUUAAGUAAUCUAGUCUUAAAAACAGCAUUGUAUGCUUAUAUUUAGUAUAUUUCACUUAUUCUGAGGCUGUAAAAAGUUUAUUUUAAGUUAUCUAGACUUAAAACCAGCAUUCUAUGCUUUUAUUUAGUAUAAUUCACUUAUUUUAAGGCUGUAAAAAGUUUAAAUUUAAGUAAUCUCAUUUUACAACCAGCAUUUUAUGCUUAUAUUUAGUAUAAUUCACUUAUUUUGAGGCUUUAAAAAGUUUAAAUUUAAGUAAUCUGAUCUUAAACCCAGCAUUUUCAUCUUAUGUUAAGCCUUCCAAAUACCUCUUUAGACAAGCUUAUUUCUAGAUUUAAUUAUCUUAAUUCAAGAAAUCUUGUCAAGUGAAAUUAUCUAGCUGCAUGGACAGAUAAUUUCACUUGUUUUGAGUACAUUUUACCUUAAAUUUAGUUUUUUUUAUCUUGUUUUGAGACACCCUUUUUUUGCAGUGUGGAAAAGUCCUUUUCCCCGGACGGUCCCCUGGAGCCUGACGGACGGUCAGUGAAUCCUGUUCGUGACGCCAAAUUGUUGUGGAAUAUUUCAAUAAAAGCUCCGUAAAAGAGAAUGAUUUGUCUGAUAAAACAGAGUCUUGAUGAAUGAUCAAAGUUGCAAAAAGUUUUUAUUACAUUUAUUGCUUGCAAGCAGGAGGUCAAAUACACAGGCACGUAUCACAGUGCUCUGUGGAAAUGGCGUCUCCGAGCACUAAAGACGCUGACUUUUUAUACACAUGUGAAGAACAUUCUCCGUGCCAGCUACGAGAAGCUGCAAAGCAGGUUGAGAUAAGAACCCAGGUGAAGCUGAGGGUAGCACACACACACACACACACACAAGAUCCUCCUCAGUGGCCGGUGCAAAUCAUAAUUAAUUGACAUGAAAGUAAAACUUGGAUCCAGAACUUUCGUACAGAAUAAGAUAUCAACCAAGGCCAUGAACAGGAGUCCUUUGUUUUGAAGCUUCUAUGAGAUCGAGUCAACCGUCCUCCCUUCUCAGGGCACAGCUGCAAACUAACAUUUUGUAUCAUGCUGCUCUUUGCACAUCGGGGUCAAAUACAGGACACUUGAGACACGGCUUUAGCACAAAACAAUGUUAUAACAUAUUUUUACCAUUACACUCUUCAUAAAGCCUUCAAUCUUCCAUAGAAUACCUACUGCUAAUUCUCUCCUCACUCGGCUCUCAGGGG
This is a long non-coding RNA of Gasterosteus aculeatus aculeatus (three-spined stickleback), 4839 nucleotides long. Lineage: Eukaryota; Metazoa; Chordata; Actinopteri; Perciformes; Gasterosteidae. The record is from Ensembl.